Molecule: ribosomal RNA, 529 nt
Filed under: Alternaria alternata
Lineage: Eukaryota; Fungi; Ascomycota; Dothideomycetes; Pleosporales; Pleosporaceae
Description: eukaryotic LSU rRNA
Rfam family: 5.8S ribosomal RNA (bases 155-308)
Source: RNAcentral
AGGCGGGCUGGAAUCUCUCGGGGUUACAGCCUUGCUGAAUUAUUCACCCUUGUCUUUUGCGUACUUCUUGUUUCCUUGGUGGGUUCGCCCACCACUAGGACAAACAUAAACCUUUUGUAAUUGCAAUCAGCGUCAGUAACAAAUUAAUAAUUACAACUUUCAACAACGGAUCUCUUGGUUCUGGCAUCGAUGAAGAACGCAGCGAAAUGCGAUAAGUAGUGUGAAUUGCAGAAUUCAGUGAAUCAUCGAAUCUUUGAACGCACAUUGCGCCCUUUGGUAUUCCAAAGGGCAUGCCUGUUCGAGCGUCAUUUGUACCCUCAAGCUUUGCUUGGUGUUGGGCGUCUUGUCUCUAGCUUUGCUGGAGACUCGCCUUAAAGUAAUUGGCAGCCGGCCUACUGGUUUCGGAGAGCAUUUUAAGUCGCAUUUUUUAUCAGCCAAGGUUUAGCAUCCAUUAAGCCUUUUUUCAACCUUUGACCUCGGAUCAGGUAGGGAUACCCGCUGAACUUAAGCAUAUCAAUAAGCGGAGGAA